This is a long non-coding RNA of Trichomycterus rosablanca, 301 nucleotides long. RefSeq lists it as uncharacterized. NCBI's taxonomy places the organism in Eukaryota, Metazoa, Chordata, Actinopteri, Siluriformes, Trichomycteridae. The record is from RefSeq and is a predicted model, not a curated record. The transcript has 3 exons.
CUCCAUUCCUGACCAAGGAGGGCCAAACCAACACACGCCCUCUGAGACAUGUGCUGCAGUCGCCCUGCACAAGGUGCCAUCGACGAGCCAGUGGAAGUCGUAAUUGCAGCAGGUAGAAGGGCCACACCAACACACCCCCCCUCUGAGACAUGUGCUGCAGUCGCCCUGCACAAGCUGCCACAGCGGAUCGUUCGGGUCCGUGUACCUGAUUUCCUCCCAUCUGUUAACAUCCGUCCUGUAGAGUUCUAACACGGAUGGCCUUUGCAGCGCGGCUUUAAUGGAAAACAUGAUGAGCCAUGAC